This 253-nucleotide ribosomal RNA is filed under the name uncultured bacterium. RNAcentral describes it as "partial 16S ribosomal RNA". It matches the Rfam family "Bacterial small subunit ribosomal RNA", at positions 524 to 776 of the family's 1533-position model. The record is from RNAcentral.
UACGGGGGGGGCAAGCGUUGUUCGGAAUUACUGGGCGUAAAGGGCGCGUAGGCGGCCUUCUAAGUCGGACGUGAAAUCCCUCGGCUCAACCGAGGAACUGCGUCCGAUACUGAAAGGCUUGAAUCCGGGAGAGGGAUGUGGAAUUCCAGGUGUAGCGGUGAAAUGCGUAGAUAUCUGGAGGAACACCGGUGGCGAAGGCGGCAUCCUGGACCGGCAUUGACGCUGAGGCGCGAAAGCUAGGGGAGCAAACAGG